UGAGUAAUACAUCGGAACGUACCUUAUCGUGGGGGAUAACGCAGCGAAAGCUGUGCUAAUACCGCAUACGCCCUGAGGGGGAAAGCGGGGGAUCGAAAGACCUCGCGCGAUUAGAGCGGCCGAUGCCUGAUUAGCUUGUUGGUGGGGUAAAAGCCCACCAAGGCGACGAUCAGUAGCUGGUCUGAGAGGACGAUCAGCCACACUGGGACUGAGACACGGCCCAGACUCCUACGGGAGGCAGCAGUGGGGAAUUUUGGACAAUGGGGGCAACCCUGAUCCAGCAAUGCCGCGUGAGUGAAGAAGGCCUUCGGGUUGUAAAGCUCUUUUGUCAGGGAAGAAACACCGGCUCUAACACAGUCCGGGAAUGACGGUACCUGAAGAAUAAGCACCGGCUAACUACGUGCCAGCAGCCGCGGUAAUACGUAGGGUGCGAGCGUUAAUCGGAAUUACUGGGCGUAAAGCGUGCGCAGGCGGUUAUACAAGACAGGCGUGAAAUCCCCGGGCUUAACCUGGGAAUGGCGCCUGUGACUGUAUAGCUAGAGUGUGUCAGAAGGGGGUAGAAUUCCACGUGUAGCA
RNAcentral lists this ribosomal RNA (576 nucleotides) under uncultured beta proteobacterium. Its description in RNAcentral is "bacterial SSU rRNA". It matches the Rfam family "Bacterial small subunit ribosomal RNA", at positions 107 to 680 of the family's 1533-position model. The record is from RNAcentral. Lineage: Bacteria; Pseudomonadati; Pseudomonadota; Betaproteobacteria.